Molecule: ribosomal RNA, 204 nt
Filed under: uncultured bacterium
Lineage: Bacteria
Description: partial 16S ribosomal RNA
Rfam family: Bacterial small subunit ribosomal RNA
Source: RNAcentral
UACAGAGGUCUCAAGCGUUUGUUCGGAUUCAUUGGGCGUAAAGGGUGCGUAGGCGGCCUCAGGUGUCGGAUGUGAAAGCCCGGGGCUCAACCCCGGAGGUGCAUCCGAAACUCUGGGGCUGGAGGUCGGAAGAGGAGGGUGGAAUACCCAGUGUAGAGGUGAAAUUCGUAGAUAUUGGGUGGAACACCGUGUGGCGAAAGCGGC